This is a non-coding RNA of Eublepharis macularius, 437 nucleotides long. The record is from the annotation of a RefSeq genome assembly. NCBI's taxonomy places the organism in Eukaryota, Metazoa, Chordata, Lepidosauria, Squamata, Eublepharidae.
UUUACAUUUAUCCUUUUCCACUCUAGGCCUAAAAAAUGGCAUCUGCCUUUACACCCCUUUUCCUCCUCCUUUUCCUACCAGGACUUUCAUCUCAGCUCAAGCUCCAGGAAUCUGGGCCAGGGGUGGUGAGACCCGGAGGGACCCUCGAGCUGACCUGUACAGUCACCGGUGGCUCAGUCACUAGCAGCAGCUGGUGGCACUGGGUUCGCCAGGCUCCCGGGAAAGGGCUGGUCUGGAUGGGGCUCUGGACUGGUAGCACCAUCUAUGCUCCAGCUUUCAGUGGCCGAAUCACCAUCUCGGUGGAUCCUUCGCAAACCAAGUACUUCCUGAGGCUGACCUCGGUGACGGCUGCAGAUUCUGCCACAUAUUACUGUGCAAGAGACACAGUGGGAAAGACUCAACCAGGAGCCUGCCAAAAAAGCAGAAGUGGGCUGUGA